UACGAAGGGGGCUAGCGUUGUUCGGAAUUACUGGGCGUAAAGGGCGCGUAGGCUGUGCUGUAAGUCAGGCGUGAAAGCCCCGGGCUCAACCUGGGAAUUGCGCUUGAUACUGCGGCGCUGGAAGGUGGGAGAGGAUGGCGGAAUUCCCAGUGUAGAGGUGAAAUUCGUAGAUAUCUGGAGGAAUACCGGUGGCGAAGGCGGCAUCCUGGACCGAUAUUGACACUGAUGAGCGAAAGCUAGGGGAGCAAACGGG
This 253-nucleotide ribosomal RNA is filed under the name uncultured bacterium. RNAcentral describes it as "partial 16S ribosomal RNA". It matches the Rfam family "Bacterial small subunit ribosomal RNA", at positions 524 to 776 of the family's 1533-position model. The record is from RNAcentral.